Molecule: long non-coding RNA, 385 nt
Organism: Apaloderma vittatum (bar-tailed trogon)
Lineage: Eukaryota; Metazoa; Chordata; Aves; Trogoniformes; Trogonidae
Exons: 3
Source: RefSeq, a predicted model, not a curated record
UUAUCUAGAAAAGUAUGAAAAAGUCCAUCAUUUUGGGGAGGAGGAUGAUGAGGUACAACCAGGCAAUCCAAAGCCACAACUUCCUAUUGGUGCAAUUCCGACUUCCUAUAACUACCAGCAACACAGUGUGUCAGAUUACCUUCGUCAAAGCUAUGGGCUCUCCAUGGACUUAAACUCACCAAAUGACUAUAAUAAAUUGGUGCUUUCGCUGUUAUCUGGACUCCCAAAUGAAGUGGACUUUGCAAUUAAUGUAUGUACUCUUCUUUCAAAUGAAAGCAAGCAUGUUAUGCAGCUUGAAAAGGACCCUAAAAUCAUCACUUUGCUGCUUGCAAAUGCUGGGGUGUUUGAUGACACUUUAGGAUCAUUUUCUGCUGUAUUUGGAGAA